RNAcentral lists this ribosomal RNA (392 nucleotides) under uncultured bacterium. Its description in RNAcentral is "partial 16S ribosomal RNA". It matches the Rfam family "Bacterial small subunit ribosomal RNA", at positions 523 to 918 of the family's 1533-position model. The record is from RNAcentral.
AUACGGAGGAUCCGAGCGUUAUCCGGAUUUAUUGGGUUUAAAGGGUGCGCAGGCGGCCAUUUAAGUCAGCGGUUAAAUCGUGGGGCUCAACCCCAUUCUGCCGUUGAUACUGGGUGGCUUGAUUGCGGUCGAGGUUGGCGGAAUUCGUUGUGUAGCGGUGAAAUGCAUAGAUAUGACGAAGAACACCGAUUGCGUAGGCAGCUGACCAGACCGCAAAUGACGCUCAUGCACGAAAGUGCGGGGAUCGAACAGGAUUAGAUACCCUGGUAGUCCGCACAGUAAACGAUGAAUACUUGUUUUCGGCGAUAUAAUGUCGGAGGCAAAGCGAAAGCGAUAAGUACUCCACCUGGGGAGUACGCCGGCAACGGUGAAACUCAAAGGAAUUGGCGGGG